Arabidopsis lyrata subsp. lyrata is the source of this 380-nucleotide long non-coding RNA. RefSeq lists it as uncharacterized. Lineage: Eukaryota; Viridiplantae; Streptophyta; Magnoliopsida; Brassicales; Brassicaceae. The record is from RefSeq and is a predicted model, not a curated record. The transcript is spliced from 2 exons.
UGUUAGAGGUAGGAUUCCAGUUUUGCUUGAUGGAGGAGUAAGGUGAGGAACAUAUGUUUUCAAUCGAUAGGCUUCCAUUGGUUCAUGGUGUUCUUGAACUUGUAGGCAUCGGUUACACAAGAGUGACAUCGAGUUACAGCGGUGGAGGCUGGAGAUUAUAUGGCUUGUUUCACUGCUCUUGAUCAUAAACCUGAGGUUGCAUUGAGUAUUGAUUUCGAUAGGAGAACUGGUGUUCAAUCUAAAAGCUGGAGUAGUGUAGCUAAGAAGAGCCAAGUCGAAGUGAGUUUUCAUGCUUUGGAUUUGAUUCAUCAUAUUGUUUGAUCAAGCAUAUUGUAAGAACCCCACUUGAGAGAUACUACCAUUGGACAAUGGAUUUUUUU